RNAcentral lists this ribosomal RNA (205 nucleotides) under Didymocyrtis cladoniicola. Its description in RNAcentral is "partial 28S ribosomal RNA". It matches the Rfam family "Eukaryotic large subunit ribosomal RNA", at positions 1 to 209 of the family's 3401-position model. The record is from RNAcentral. Lineage: Eukaryota; Fungi; Ascomycota; Dothideomycetes; Pleosporales; Phaeosphaeriaceae.
CUCGGAUCAGGUAGGGAUACCCGCUGAACUUAAGCAUAUCAAUAAGCGGAGGAAAAGAAACCAACAGGGAUUGCCCUAGUAACGGCGAGUGAAGCGGCAACAGCUCAAAUUUGAAAUCUGGCUCUUUCAGAGUCCGAGUUGUAAUUUGCAGAGGGCGCUUUGGCGUUGGCAGCGGUCCAAGUUCUUUGGAACAGGACGUCACAGA